This is a long non-coding RNA of Lutra lutra (Eurasian river otter), 795 nucleotides long. RefSeq lists it as uncharacterized. The transcript is spliced from 3 exons. NCBI's taxonomy places the organism in Eukaryota, Metazoa, Chordata, Mammalia, Carnivora, Mustelidae. The record is from RefSeq and is a predicted model, not a curated record.
CCCUGAUUCUUGCAGCUGAGAAGAGAAGGAAAGGUCCGUGGACUUCCAAGGAAAGUUACCUUUCUCCUAAGAGUGAGUCAAAAGAAAAGAUGGUCCUUAAUUGUUCCUCUGAGUUUUGUCAAAUCUAGAUGGGAAGUGGGGGGGAAGCUGCAGUCGUCUUCUCCUCCUGAAGAUGGAGCCGGCUCCAAGGAUGAUGGAGCAGACACAUGAGAACCUUUCCCCUUGAUAAAGGCUGAGGUGCUGAAUCAAAGUUCCCCAAAGGCCACUCUACCGCAGGACUUCCUGUUACAUGGGACCCUGUGAGUCGCCUGGAUGUCAAAGAAUUAAGCCUGUCUUGAAUGAACAGAAGUAACAGGAGUACGGAGAAAAUUUCUUUCUCUUUUCCUGGUCCCAACCGUGAUUCUCUGAUUUGAAUUUGCAGUGGCAGAAAAGAAAGGAGAGGCGAGGCACAGAACGGAAAUCAUAAAAGAAAAGCAUCCCAUCUAGUGCCUUCGAUUCUGGCUGAUCAUUCGGAAAGCCUCCAGGGGGGCCACUGGGGGAAUGAGUAUGACAACAGAUGAAGAGGCUUUGAUAGAUUAGUAAGGGAUUUCAUAAGCUGGAGUAUUAUUAGCUUUGGAGAUUGCAAAAGGCUAGGAGUCCAAAUGAACAAUUUUCCAACAUAAUUUGAACAUUUAUUUCACUGAAGUUAUUAUUCACAACACAAAUCUUCCCCGUUUUCUGAAAACCGAAGGAUACGGUUGCCUGUGUUCAUUGCUGUUUUUAUUUUAUUUUUUUCCCCUCACUCCAAUAAAUGCU